This 280-nucleotide long non-coding RNA is filed under the name Elaeis guineensis (African oil palm). RNAcentral describes it as "long non-coding RNA (EGUI_LNC064850)". The record is from RNAcentral. Lineage: Eukaryota; Viridiplantae; Streptophyta; Magnoliopsida; Arecales; Arecaceae.
GGGGUGGCACAAGGGAAGAGUCCAAUUUGAUUUGGACUCUUGUUGUUUCCUAUUUGGUCCCAAACCAAAUCAAAUCUAGUUAGGCCUAAAUAGAAAAGAGUAAAUCUAAUCCAAUUAGAUACUAAACCUUCUCAAUUAAAUUAUAAUAAAAUAAAAAAUUAAUUGAGCCCAAGUUCUGAUGAAAUCAGGUACUAAUCUCCCUUAAUAAUUAGGUUAUCUUAUAACUUAAUUAGGUCAGACUUAAUUGAAUUUAAUUCAAAUAGACUUGAUCCGAAUCUUA